AGGGGGUAGGUAAAGGGUGGUUUGGUCUUUUUCCACCUCGUUCAUAUCACCCUUUCCCUCUCUCUCUAUUUAGGUCUGUGUAGAGCAGAGAGAGGGAGUUCUUUCUUCUUCUCCUCUCUCUCUAGCUGGGUUCUUGAGCACGGUGGAACUCGGGUGAAGCUUGGAUUCGUCGCCGACGUCGCGUCGUGGAGCCAUUCGAGCACACUUUCGACGUUGUGUUGCUGCGAGAAGGUCGGGCGAGUGUGGCUUUUCGCCAUCCUUGACGUCGUGCUGAUUCUAGGUACAUAUUGGGUAGCGCCCACGAGUGCCACUCCGGAGUCAGGCUUUGUGCUUUCGCGUUGGUGUCGCUCAUGCCAGUUGGACUUGCUCUCCACAGACCAGUUAGUGUGGAGGUAGCUGGACAGUCGCAACGGGGCAGGGACGGGUGUAUUCACAGUCCCAGGGACAGGUAUGUUUACAGUCCCGAUUGGAUUGGGUUAGAUUUGACAUUUCCUACAGUUGAUUAGUGUUGAGCAUGAUAGUGUAGUGAUCGAUAGCGGUAGAGUUUACUUCCUGCUUUUCCGACUACUCUUGCUCCUUUCUGUAGACUCAGUCAGUGGACCGAUGUUGUUUUGGGCGGUACCCACUGAGGACUACUUGUUUUUACAGUAGUUCUCACGCCCAGUUGUUACUCCUGUUUUGCAGAGCCACAGGUUUUGGCUGCUGCGCCUUCCGCGGACCAGGAUCGAGGCAAGGGCAUCGCGAGUUAGAGCCCUACCCGACGAGCUAAGCUAGAGGCACCCCUACUGCAGGUAGAUGUUUUGUCUGAGUUUAUGUACAUAGCUUACUUAACUCGCCAGUGCGAGUAACUCUGUAUUUUGGAUUUGGACAAUGUAUAUGAAACUCAGUUUGUUUAGCUUUUGUUUAUUUGAGCAGCUCUAUGCUACUGUUUGUAGUAUUGUAUAUCUACAGGUACAGCUGUCACUUCGUAUACAGG
RNAcentral lists this long non-coding RNA (976 nucleotides) under Ananas comosus (pineapple). RNAcentral describes it as "long non-coding RNA (ACOM_LNC013849)". The record is from RNAcentral. Lineage: Eukaryota; Viridiplantae; Streptophyta; Magnoliopsida; Poales; Bromeliaceae.